AGAUGUCCAAGAAUCCAAGCUGUCCAGACGCUUCUUUUUGAAAUUGUCCAUGACCGGAAUUUGGAACUUCCUUCUAGAAGCCACCACUGGCGGAGGCGGAGGUGGAGAUGGAGAUGGUGGGGAGACUGGUUGGUUGGUAAUUCCUUUAUCCGUCUUGUUCUUCCUCCCUGAUCGGAAUACUUGAAAUAAACAAGAAAUCAUGUUGAUUUGCAGAAAUCAACUGUAAAGCAGCAUGGAUUUGGUUCAGACAAUUUAAGCUUACACUCAAACAUGGCUGCCCGCUAGCUUCUAGAACAUGGAGAACACCAGAUGUAUUCCGCCGAUCGAUCCAGUCUUCCUUCUUUGAGAGGAUGAGAAAGCUUUGGUUUCUUUGUUUAUUUGUUUCGCACGUUCGUUCAUGAACUAACCUGUUCUUCUCCGUUUCCCACAAAAUUUCCACCCAUUAUUUUUU
RNAcentral lists this long non-coding RNA (451 nucleotides) under Zostera marina. Its description in RNAcentral is "long non-coding RNA (ZMAR_LNC000357)". The record is from RNAcentral. Lineage: Eukaryota; Viridiplantae; Streptophyta; Magnoliopsida; Alismatales; Zosteraceae.